UCCCUCCUAUUUUUUAUUUUUUAUUUUUUAUUUUUUUGUCAAACUAUAGAUAUGUUAGAUUAGGUGUUAAAUUAUACCCACGCCAUCCCUCCUAUUCAAAACCUCAUGCCUAAAAAAAAAACUGAUUGAAAAGGUAGGAUUUCUGUGCUGUUCGAUUCGUCUCCGUACUCUCUGAGCUAAAAGCACUUUCUUCUCCUCUCUCUCUCUCUCUCUUCAAUUUGAAUUCUACUUUCUCUCUCUAGAACUUCAAUCUCUUUGUAUUUCUUGAAAACCGUCUUUAUUUUGCAGAUUAAACUGCGAAAUUUGAAAAACCCUGUUCGAGAUUUUGCUUGAAAUCGUGGUUUGGGGUUUAAAUAGCAGGGUCAGAUCUAGUACUCCGAGAAGUACUUCGAUGAUAUCUACGAGUACAGGCAUGUGGUUGUUCCCCAGACGGUCGCGCUGCCUGUACUUGGCUUGGGCCAACCCUGGAGGAGAGGAGUGAUGGGGGUGAGAUAUCGGCCGUCGACGACCCGAGGGAGAGCAAAGGUUGGUGAGGGAGAAAGAAGAUUGCAUGGAUACUACUAGAAUAUUAAUUGUUUGGCAACCAGUUUUAAUUAAGUUCAAGUAGGACACGUGUCUUUAUUUGAUUGUCCACAUAGGAUUGUCAGUAUAAAAAGUCCUAAUUGGUCAGGA
This is a long non-coding RNA of Pyrus x bretschneideri (Chinese white pear), 672 nucleotides long. RefSeq lists it as uncharacterized. The record is from RefSeq and is a predicted model, not a curated record. NCBI's taxonomy places the organism in Eukaryota, Viridiplantae, Streptophyta, Magnoliopsida, Rosales, Rosaceae. The transcript has 2 exons.